UACGAAGGGGGCUAGCGUUGCUCGGAAUCACUGGGCGUAAAGGGUGCGUAGGCGGGUCUUUAAGUCAGGGGUGAAAUCCUGGAGCUCAACUCCAGAACUGCCUUUGAUACUGGAAGAUCUUGAGUUCGGGAGAGGUGAGUGGAACUGCGAGUGUAGAGGUGAAAUUCGUAGAUAUUCGCAAGAACACCAGUGGCGAAGGCGGCUCACUGGCCCGGUACUGACGCUGAGGUGCGAAAGCGGUGGGGAGCAAACAGG
This 255-nucleotide ribosomal RNA is filed under the name uncultured bacterium. RNAcentral's name for it is "partial 16S ribosomal RNA". It matches the Rfam family "Bacterial small subunit ribosomal RNA", at positions 524 to 776 of the family's 1533-position model. The record is from RNAcentral.